RNAcentral lists this transfer RNA (91 nucleotides) under Tsuneonella deserti. RNAcentral describes it as "tRNA-Ala". The record is from RNAcentral. Lineage: Bacteria; Pseudomonadati; Pseudomonadota; Alphaproteobacteria; Sphingomonadales; Erythrobacteraceae.
CGCCGUCGAGCGACAGGAAGGCGGCGCCGGUGAUCUUGCGGGUCAUCGGCUCAGUCCCCCCGCCGCGCGGCUUCGAUCGCCGCGAUGUCGA